This is a non-coding RNA of Roridomyces roridus, 108 nucleotides long. Lineage: Eukaryota; Fungi; Basidiomycota; Agaricomycetes; Agaricales; Mycenaceae. The record is from the annotation of a GenBank genome assembly.
GGCGCGAUGGCCGAGUGGUUAAGGCGACAGAUUAGAAUGUUCUUGGGUUCCUUGCACUGCUUUAUCUGUUUCGGUUUCCGAGCGCAGGUUCAAGUCCUGCUCGCGUCG